RNAcentral lists this long non-coding RNA (6982 nucleotides) under Malus domestica (apple). RNAcentral describes it as "long non-coding RNA (MDOM_LNC017969)". The record is from RNAcentral. Lineage: Eukaryota; Viridiplantae; Streptophyta; Magnoliopsida; Rosales; Rosaceae.
UUGUCUUUCUUUCCAACUACAUCUUAUGGAGUUAUGAAAAUUUUGGAAGAUCUUCUAAUUGACAAUCAUAUUGUCUUAGAAGUAUAUAUCUUAUAUAUGGGUAAUAGAUAACAUCUAACGAACUAAAUCUUAUUCGAGUUCGUUCUUCUCCUAAUGGAGAAAUUUAUUAUCUUAUGAUGCUUCUUUCCUUGAUAUCUUUCAAGGAAACUCAUCUAAAGUGUUACCUUUCCUUGGAUCAAAUCUAAUGAGGUCAAUACUUUAGAUGUCUUACUCAUCAACUUACAUUUCUUGAAUUCUUUGAAACCUUUUGCAAAGUAUUCGGACUUGUGUUUAUUCAAAAUAAACUAUAGUCCAACCGAGAGUGAUCUUUGGUGAAUGUCAUACAACAUGAGUAGUAUUAUGUUGUGGACAAGUGCCACUAACAUCUAAGUGAAUUAACCUCAACAACUUUGUGAUUCUUUCUUCUUUCCAAAAGAAUAAAGAUUCGAACAUUUCGCCUCUAUACAAUUUUAACAAGAAGGUAUUGGAUCCGGAUCUUACGAUCCAAAGCAUCCAUCUAUGACCAACUCGUAAUUUAUGUUUUAGAGGUAUCACAACUCAGUUGGGAUUAGUCACUACCUUGCAACCUUUUGGGUUUUAAGCAUCAUUAUAUUCUAAACAGUUAACACUACCAUAUCAUCUCUACUAUAGAGACAAUCAAUUAGAUUACUAUAAUCCAAUCAUUGAUUAAUAAAGAACAAUGUUUUGUCAAACAAAACAUUCAUCCAUCUCUACUAUAUUGACGGAAUUAAGUUCCUUAAAAUUGGAAUGUAAAGACUAUCUUUAGUUUUUCCAAUUUCUUUGGUAGUUCAUAUGAGGAAGUAAGUACUAUCUGCUUUCGCAGAGAUCUAUAUUUUAUUCACGUUCCGAAUGUGAAGCACCUUUUCUUCUCUCAUAUAUCUUCUACUUCUUAUUAGUCACACUUUUACAACGAUUGUAAAACAUAGUUACUAAUACAGAAUCAAGCAUUCAAGUAGAAGAACCAACUAUUUUGAACUAUUCAAGAACAAUUUACAACACCUUCGAAAGGUGUGUUCUUGACACUUGCAAGACAUUUUCUUGCAAAUACCCCUUCCAAUGUCCAUCCUUUCAUAAAGAAAGUUUGUUCCCUUUGAGUUAUUUUAUCUUCUUCAUUUUGACUUCUCCAUUUGACUACAAUAGUCAUGGUCCCUAAACUCCCACUAUAUCUCUCUUGAAACUUUAUUUCAAUUGUGUUAUACACAUCAAACAUUUUGGAAAGCAUGUGUUUUAUUGUUCACUACAUAGUUUACAAUAAACUUAGUGAACCAUUAGGAUAGGGACAUAAAGGUGAAGUCCUUAGCCUAGUUUCCGUCUCGUUAAGUGGUUUUAUCACUUCAACACUCAAUGAUUCAAAAAUCAUCAUAAGUCCAUGUUAAUGGACUAUUUUUUGUCAAACAACCAUUAUGUUCUAAACAUAAUUACAAACUUUCAAGAGUUUGUACAAGGCAACUCUCAUUUCUUCAUACAACAAUUUGUAAGUGAAGAAUCAUGGCACAUAAAGUGUCCAUGCCCAUUGUGCUUUCUUCUCAAGUUCUUUGUUCAUUUAACAAAGAAACAAGCACUAGUGUGUUUGCAUUGACUAAGGGUUGUUCAAAGAAACUCUUAUUUCUUCAUACAACAAUUUGUAAUUGAAGAAUUAUGACAUUAAAAGUGUUGUCCUCUUUAUGAUAGACUUUUUCUAACAUAUUCUUCUAAUGAUACAUUAUCAAUAGGAAGAUUGUGAAGAUGAGACUACUUAGGUACAUUUACAAGCCAUUUAAAGACAAUCUUUGGUUUUGUAGUACCAAGUCCGGAAACUAAAGCUUUCGGCUUUUAUUUGUCAAGUGUUGGAUAGCAUUUGCAAAUAUAUUGGUAAAUAAAUACAUAACGAAUAUAAAUUGAUUGAUUUUAAGCCAUUUGAUCCGGGUCUUUAAAUCAAAUAGCACCACCCACUAUUUUUGGCAAAUUCCAUAUCCCUCAUUGGAAUUCGAGAGUUUUGGAUGAAACUCUUAGUAGGGUAUGGGUGACUCACUAUUACCAAGCCCACCUCACAAUGAUAUGAUGUUGGCUAGCAUUAAUAAUAAUGAGAGAGUACGCUUACUCAUUUGUAUCUCUUGCAAGUACCCAUCUUAUUUGGCCUCUAGAGAAUGUUACCUCACAAUGAUAUGAUGUUGGCUCCAUUCCUCUUAGUUAAGUUCUUUCCCACCAUGCCGGUUUAGAAAGGGGUUCAAGUAUGACCUCACGAUGAUACGAUGUUGGCCACACUCGUUGCUUACCUUAACCUCAUCAAAUGUUUUAAAUAAACUCCUCCUGAGUAUAAGCAUGCACUUUGCACUCCCCCAUGAUAGGGUGAAGGCGGUGUACAAGUCAUAAACGAUUGGAGUCUACCAUGGUGGAAGGCCACGAAAGAGUGUUCAAAGCACUCUCACGCUUAUCAAACUUAAUAAUGGUUUGGUUUGAGGGUUUUAGGUCUCAUCACAUAUAAAUAUUCAUUUUAAUCUUUAUUAAAACAAUUUUGGUCCUAUUACAACUAUUGGUCAAUUUGAUUGUUUUAUUUGUAUAUAAUACUCCCACUAUGCUUAUAAAACGGUUUUUUAAAGCAAGAGUAUAUGAUACUACUAACAUAACCUUUUGCAUUCAUUUGAUGGACUAUAUAGUUGCCUUAGGGCCUUAGGAUGACUAUGAACCUUUGAUUAGAUUCAACACGAGCCUUGUGUUGAAUCUCGGUCUAGGGAUGGUGAUUGAUUUAGUUACGCGUUUAAUCACAUUAAGGCGUGUUGUCUUAGGGGCGUUGGACCCAACUACUUCAUUUUCAUGCAUAUCAAAAUAAAGCAAGAAAGAAGUACUUCAAAGUAAAGGUGAGCUUAUGCUCAUUACAACAUUUGAAUAAAUUCAAAUUACUUUAAAGUAAAGAAGAGCUUAUGCUCUUUUACAACAUUUGAUCAAAUCAAAUUACAACCAAAAAUCUAAUCUACACAUUCCCAUGGUUUCAAACAAAUUUGAAACGGCCUAUCACAUAGCUCAAUUAUCAUAGGCUUAGGUUCAUAAUCACCCUUUAAUUAAUUAACACUUUAACUAAUUAAACUUGAAUGCAACAUUUUCAUUUGGUUUUUGUAUCCAUAAAAUUGAUUUAAAUGGAGCUAAAUGAAAUAAAAAUCCAAUUCUCAUUUAAAGAGACAAAACAAUUUUGUUCUCAACCUAAUUUGGGCCAAAAUGCAAUUACCACAACUUUUGGGCCAUAUUGCAAAAAAAUAAACUUUUGGGGUCACUUUGUAAAAACACGAAAGUCCACUACUUCAUGUAAUUACAACUAGAACCCAAAUUUAAACAAUGCAAAAACUUCAUUAAAGGACCAAAACAAUUUGUCCUUUAGCGUUUUUGGACCUAAACGUAAAAACGUAAACUUUUGGGCCAAAGUGCAAAUACACAAAAGUAUCAAAACUUUAUGUAAUUGCAUAAAAGCCCCAAAAGUACUCCCUUUGAGGGAGUGGCCGGUUAUAGGAAGCAAAGGGAGUGAUGUGUGUGUUGAUUUGUAGUUUUAGACAUAAAGCAUGCAAGUGGUGCAUGACAUAAAUGUCAUGCAAGUGGUGUGUGUGAAAGGAAAUUAAUCCUUUCACACCCACCAAUAUUUCUUACACCUUUUAAAUAAAUAUCUAAUACAUUUAAAUAUAUGAUAAAUCAUAAAACAAAAACUUUAUGAAAUAAAUCAAAACUUUGAAUCAAAACACCAAACUUUUUGUUCUUGGCAAAAAUGUCAAGAACAAUGAAGAACACUCAUGAAAAACUCAAAAAUUUCCAUGAACAUUUUUUCACCCAAAAAACAUCCCAAAACCACUCAAACUUUAGGGAAAUAACAUAUAACCAAAAACUAGGGUACAUAGGGGUUCCAAAAGUCACUUGAAAACACUUUUAACAAGUCAAACAAGAACCCAAAAAUCCACCCUUUGGAUUUGGCCGAAUUUUCCCAAAAACAUGGCACCAAAUUUUAGCUCCAAUAUUCAUGCUCAUAUGAACUACAUCUACAACAUUUGAGAUGGCAAAUUUUCUAACAAAAUUUACAUUCAAAGAAACAAGAAUAAAGCUUGUAACAUAUUACAACUUUUAAAUCAAAACUAUGAACUACAAAACCCAAAAGGAUUCACCAACUACUAGACCUAGGCUCUGAUACCACUUGAAGGAAAGAUUUUGUGAAAACAUGUUCAUUUGAGCAACAUCUAUAAGCAUGCAAUUAACAAUUAAAGGCGGAAUCAUGCUUAGCAUGCACCCAAAAACAAAACAAUACCCAUGAAAUUCAAAGCCUAGUAGAUUGGUGAACCAAGACUCAACUCAAAUCAAAGUUGAGUUGAGAAAUUUAUACCUUUGUAGAUUCCUCUUUGCAUAAGCAAAGGCUAAUCACCCAAAGAGAGGGCCUUCAUUCCUUGCUUCUUAAAUCCAUGGAUUUGGAUGGAAGAAUAGAUUCUCCAAGUUCCCAAAAUUGAGAACCUCUAAGUUUCCACACCAAGGAUGGAUUGAUGAAGAAAUGAGUGACCUAGAGGAAGCAAGAUUGCUAGUUAAUUUCCUCUAGGGGUGGCCGGCCUCUUUAGAGAGAAAAGAGAGCUUUGUGUUUCGCAUCUUUUCUCCAAAAGAAAACCCCUUAAUGAAUUUAGGCUAUAAAGUCCUUUAUAUAGUUCCCUUCAAAUAAGUGACCUAAAGAACCAAAAAGCCAUUCUUCUAACAUGGCCGGCCACAAGGGUUUUAUUGGGCUUUUGGGCCUUUUGUGAAUUAAGUUGUCAUACAACUUAAGUCAAUGGGCUUGACGUUCGAAGCCCAUUGGGCCUUGAGGCCCAAAACUAACCCGUGGUCUUUUUCACGAACUUAUUCGUUUGAUUAAUUAACAUAUUAAUUAAUCCUUGCCAUAAAAUAAUUAAACCAUUUAAUUAUUCUUACUCAUCUCCGUUGUUUCUUCAAUCUUUACCUUACACGGUGUACGAUCCAUUAGGUUCCUUUUAGCGAGGCAGUGGGCGAUUAGAACUCUUUCAAACCGAUUGUGAAUUGAAACUUACUUUCAAUUCUCCCUUUAGUGAUUAUACACGUUUAGGACUUCCACAAACCAUGAGUGACACCUAGCAGCAUAUCAUGGUUACCCAAGCUAAUCAGAAGAGGUGGAGAACCUAUUCAGUUUAGGAUUACAAAUGCAAUACGGUCUUUCUCUCUAAUACAAUACUCUUGAGCACAUUGUUUGGUUUUGAUAGUUUAUUCAUGUCUACUAUCCAAUGUGAUUCGUUUACUUAUAUGAUUACCUUGAAUGUGAUUUGGAACGCCUUCCUAAAUCUCAUUCAUACUCUUGAUCAAAGAUUUUCAAUCAUAUCAUAGAGUAUUCUCCCCCAAACGGUUGAAGGUUAGAGAUCCCUUGUUGCGCAUUCAAUUGCCUCCAUGGCUAAGUGGCUUAACCCCAACGAUGCCGUGGACACCCGUGGAUGGGGGUGACUUUGACAUAAUCAAAGAUCAAGGACUUAACCACAAGACAACUUGUGAUGCCUCAGGUCAAAGGACUACUUUGCAUUAUCCCAACCAUGAGUUCUCAUGUGACAUGAAUAUGAGAACUCUUCGUUGAUCGUGUUCAGUGAACUCAUUCUCUAUUGAGCACCUACGUACUUGUCUUGAUGUCACACACACCAAUGAUUCGAGACUAGUCACUCUCCUUGAGAGAAGACACAGCACGUACUGAUCUUAACGGACUGUCAAUGCCCAAUUGGCAAUCCUAUGAUCAGGAACGUUUAGGAUGUGUCUACGAAAGAAUGGUCUCAUGAAUCUAACUUCUUUAGAUUGCAUUCUCCCAAUCACAUAUUCCUUGGACUUAUUGUUUAAGCAUAUAACAUUUAUAUGAGACGGGAUCAAACAAUAAUCUUUGCCUUUAUAUUUAAACUACAUUAGUUUAACUUUGUGAAAUGUCCGUAAAGUAUCAUCAUAUGAUUGGUUUUAGGGCACAUUUCCAUCAAUUAUCAAGACCAUCUUAAUAAUGUUUUCGGAAACCCAUAUUAUGUCCAAACAUUGAAUCACCAUUUAGUUGUAGCUAGCAAUUUCGAAUUAAUUGAAACCAAGACUAUCUCAAAGAUGGUUUCUUUAAAGUCAACCAUUCUCUUUGAUUGUAGUCACCUUAAGCUACCAAUUAGCUUAUGAAGGUUUCAUUAUUUCGGGUCAAAUGGUACUUUACCAUUUCCUUGAGUAUUGUCAUAUAUACACUCAAUGUAGUCAUAAGGAUUUUCAUUCUUAUUUCUUUCGAAUUAAGAGGUGCAACUCUAUGACAUAGUCAUAAAGUUCAAACCAUUCAAUUGAGACGGUUUAUAAAUCCUUCUCGACUACCAUGGAGCUUUUGGUAUAGGAACUAGGUUGUUAUAUUUGUUGAUUAUUAUCUUGUCUCUCAAAGAACCCAUUCUUUGAGUUCUAUCUCUCUUCAUUUGCACUUAGGCAAAUCAUAUUGUAAGAUUACAAUGAACUACCCAACAAAACAACAUUUGUUAGUUGGUUUAUAGAAGCGAUAUCCAAAAGUUAAUUUAAGGAUAUCCCACAAGAUUGUUAUCAAACAAAUAUUGCUUAUUUAGGAGCACAACCCCAAAUCUUAACAUGCUUGAGAUUUGUCUUUCUUUCCAACUACAUCUUAUGGAGUCAUGAAAAUUUUGGACGAUCUUCUAAUUGACAAUCAUAUUGUCUUAGAAGCAUAUCUCCUAUAUAUGGGUAAUUGAUAACAUCCAACAAACUAAAUCUUAUUCAAGUUCGUUUUCUUCUCCUAAUGGAGAAAUCCAUUAUUCUUUGAUGCUUCUUUCCUUGAUAUCUUUCAAGGAAACUCAUCUAAAGUGUUACCUUUCCUUGGAUCAAAUCUAAUGAGGUCAAUACUUUAGAUGUCUUACUCAUCAACUUACAUUUCUUGAAUUCUUUGAAACCUUUUGCAAAGUAUUCGGACUUG